CGCGUAGGUGGUUAGGUAAGCGAGAUGUGAAAGCCCCGGGCUUAACCUGGAAACGGCAUUUCGAACUGUCUGACUAGAGUAUGGUAGAGGGUAGUGGAAUUUCCUGUGUAGCGGUGAAAUGCGUAGAUAUAGGAAGGAACACCAGUGGCGAAGGCGGCUACCUGGACCAAUACUGACACUGAGGUGCGAAAGCGUGGGGAGCAAACA
RNAcentral lists this ribosomal RNA (207 nucleotides) under uncultured bacterium. RNAcentral describes it as "partial 16S ribosomal RNA". It matches the Rfam family "Bacterial small subunit ribosomal RNA", at positions 568 to 774 of the family's 1533-position model. The record is from RNAcentral.